AGAGUUCUCAGAGAGGCUGGAACACAGCUGUCCAGUGUGGGCACCACCACCCCUGAUGCAGCCAUAGGCAUGGGCUAGGAGGGGGAAAGACCAUGGACUUCAUAAGAAGACGUGAAGAUGCUAAAAGGGAGAGGACAUGAGCUCUGAUCCUGAGAUGUACCUCUUUCCCAUGCCUAGUGGGCCCUACAACCUGGAAUAGAAGGAAAAGGGACCAGGAGGGACUUCUUCAUCAAUAAAGAUUUUUAAGAGCU
Molecule: long non-coding RNA, 251 nt
Filed under: Mus pahari (shrew mouse)
Lineage: Eukaryota; Metazoa; Chordata; Mammalia; Rodentia; Muridae
Description: predicted gene, 44151 (MGP_PahariEiJ_G0002815.1)
Source: RNAcentral